AUGUUCAUACUGGUUGUGGUCAAUUUAUUUUGGCAGAUCUUGGAGGCUGAUACUCCCAUUUCUUACUUCGGGAAUUCUUCAACUGAUAAUUUCCGAUGGCCUCUGGACAGAAUAGUGGAGAGGGAGCAGGCUUUGGAAGCUCGUGUAUUUGUUGGGAUUAAAGUUUUGAUCAUCCAAGAGGUUGAGAAGCUGCUAGAGUCAAUUGAUGGAGCCAUAGUCAGUCAGAUGAACAUUCUCAUCCUCAGAACUCCGGGCGGUUGUGAUUUCAGCUGCGUUGACUCCGCGCAGAUGAGAUCGCCUUGCCUGCAAGAGGACAUGAUUUAA
RNAcentral lists this ribosomal RNA (324 nucleotides) under Triticum aestivum (bread wheat). Its description in RNAcentral is "partial small subunit ribosomal RNA". Lineage: Eukaryota; Viridiplantae; Streptophyta; Magnoliopsida; Poales; Poaceae. The record is from RNAcentral.